RNAcentral lists this long non-coding RNA (1528 nucleotides) under Canis lupus familiaris (dog). Its description in RNAcentral is "lncRNA (ENSCAFG00000055819.1)". Lineage: Eukaryota; Metazoa; Chordata; Mammalia; Carnivora; Canidae. The record is from RNAcentral.
CUAAAUAUUCAUUAUACACUAAAUGUAUAUGGGAUCUAUGAGAUGCUAAGUAUAAAAAAGACACAAAGUAGUCAGGUUUCUGAAUGAACACCUAAUAUUCAUGAGGCCCUAAUUGAUAGUGCCAUUCUGACCCCAUGUGUCCUCUGACCAAGAAAUACAAAUUAACCGAGGGCUGUUGAUCAGCUCACUGAUGAGUUAUAGCUAUGGCCAGAGGUAAUUGUCCCUACAUCUCUCUAAGAGAGUUAAAGUAUGUGCCCAAGGCACCUUCCAUCUUUGGGCCCCCUUGUUCAAAUCUCAGUUCUGGUCACUGUAAGAUAGGUAUUUGUGUGGGGGCAGGGAAAAGAGAGAGAGAGAGAGAGAGAGAGAGAUUGACUAAGAGAAAGAGAGAGAUUGAGGACAAAUGAACACUGCUAAUCCAGAAUUCGAGCAGUGCGGUCCUUCCACACUGAACCUUGUUUAAAUGUAUUAACUUAUCCUGGCCUCCUUUCCUUUCUUUCUCCCUAUGUGUUCUAAAUGGAUUUUUAGCAAACCAUUUCAUGACUUCCUGGUAGUAUUUUUGGCAUUUUGAUAGCCUGAAAAGGCAUCAAGAUAAUUUCCAAAAAAAAAAAAAAAAAAAAAAAGAUAAUUUCCCACAGGAGGGUGGUAGAAAUUGGCUCUCAGGACCUUAGCGUGACCCCUGAUGAUUGUGCAUGAGAUCGCUUGUGGGCAAAUAUAAGUUGGGAGGUACUAUAAACAGAGAGACUCCUGUUUGCUGUUGGGCAAUAUUCUGGGGCUAGGGCCUCAGGAAGGAGGUUUCUGAUGAUAAUCCAUCUCUCUGGUCUGCUCCGGUAAUGAGGUAAAGACACACAAGAUAAGCUAAUCUAUCUAUCUAUCUAUCUAUCUAUCUAUCUAUCUAUCUAUCUAUCUAUUUAAUAUUUAAAGAUUGUAUUUAUUUAUUCAUAGAGACAGAGAAAGAGAGAGAGAGGCAGAGACACAGGCAGAGGGAGAAGCAGGCAUCAUACAGAGAGCCUGAUGUGGGACUCGAUCCAGGGUCUCCAGGAUCACGCCCUGGGCUGCAGGUGGCGCUAAACCUCUGCGCCACUGGGGCUGCCCAAGCUAAUCAAUUUAAAGACAUGGUGGCACCUGUCAAAGUGCAUCAGACACAGCAUCAUUGGAGAUUCUUGGCAGUACCAGUUAUUUUGGUCCAGUCACCGGCUGUGGGGUUUCAACAUGGCUGGUCCUGUUUUCCUUCCAGAGCUGGUAUCAAAUGGCUGUCCCUCAGAGGGCAGUUGCCCUGGUAGCUUCAAAAUCACUUCAGCUUUCCCUCAUCUUUCAUCAGAUGAACAGGUAGGUUAGUUUCAUAUUGUGAUUUUCUUACCUACUUUUUUCUGAUUCCCUCUGGUUUUUAUAGUGUGGCCUCUGAGACAGUUUUCUUAUGUUUUAAAAAUAAGUGUCUAUUAUAGAAUAUGUUCACUAAAAAUUGUCCAUGCUCAUUAGGUUUGGAAAACAAACGUAUAUAGAAAAAAAGAGAAAAAAGGCUAUAACCCCA